UGGGGAAUAUUGGACAAUGGGCGCAAGCCUGAUCCAGCCAUGCCGCGUGAGUGAUGAAGGCCCUAGGGUUGUAAAGCUCUUUCACCGGUGAAGAUAAUGACGGUAACCGGAGAAGAAGCCCCGGCUAACUUCGUGCCAGCAGCCGCGGUAAUACGAAGGGGGCUAGCGUUGUUCGGAUUUACUGGGCGUAAAGCGCACGUAGGCGGACUUUUAAGUCAGGGGUGAAAUCCCGGGGGUCAACCCCGGAACUGCCUUUGAUACUGGAAGUCUUGAGUAUGGUAGAGGUGAGUGGAAUUCCGAGUGUAGAGGUGAAAUUCGUAGAUAUUCGGAGGAACACCAGUGGCGAAGGCGGCUCACUGGACCAUUACUGACGCUGAGGUGCGAAAGCGUGGGGAGCAAACAGG
RNAcentral lists this ribosomal RNA (404 nucleotides) under Actinomycetes bacterium. Its description in RNAcentral is "Actinobacteria bacterium partial 16S ribosomal RNA". It matches the Rfam family "Bacterial small subunit ribosomal RNA", at positions 355 to 776 of the family's 1533-position model. Lineage: Bacteria; Bacillati; Actinomycetota; Actinomycetes. The record is from RNAcentral.